UUGUGACUAUACUAAAUGGAUAUGGAAGGAGAUUCUCCAGCGAUUCGAACUCAAUAGAAUGCCGCAACCAAACUUGCAUCAAGAAUUAGCUGACCUCAUGCAAUGUUUUUCAAUAAAAGGGCCUCUUACACAAUUGACAAAGGUUAUAUUCAGAUGCGCUAUUUGGUGGAUGUGGAAGGAAAGAUGUAGCAGAAUCUUUGAGUGUCAACACACAAACAAUGCUCAGCUCUUGACAGAGAUUAUUAGAGACUCAAGAUCAUGUAU
Molecule: long non-coding RNA, 264 nt
Filed under: Musa acuminata (dwarf banana)
Lineage: Eukaryota; Viridiplantae; Streptophyta; Magnoliopsida; Zingiberales; Musaceae
Description: long non-coding RNA (MACU_LNC001950)
Source: RNAcentral